GUAGGGAAUAUUGGACAAUGGGCGAAAGCCUGAUCCAGCCAUGUCGCGUGAUAGAUGAAGGCCCUCUGGGUUGUAAAUAUCUUUUAUCUGGGAAGAAACUCCUCUAUUCUUAGAGGCCUGACGGUACCAGAGGAAUAAGCACCGGCUAACUCCGUGCCAGCAGCCGCGGUAAUACGGAGGGUGCAAGCGUUAUCCGGAUUCACUGGGUUUAAAGGGUGCGUAGGCGGGUUGAUAAGUCAGUGGUGAAAGCUACGGGCUUAACUUGGAAACUGCCAUUGAUACUGUCAGGCUUGAAUGUCGUAGAGGUAAGCGGAAUGUUGCAUGUAGCGGUGAAAUGCUUAGAUAUGUUACAGAACACCAAUUGCGAAGGCAGCUUACUAUGCGAUAAUUGACGCUGAGGCACGAAAGCGUGGGGAGCAAACAGGAUUAGAAACCCGAGUAGUCC
RNAcentral lists this ribosomal RNA (445 nucleotides) under uncultured bacterium. RNAcentral describes it as "bacterial SSU rRNA". It matches the Rfam family "Bacterial small subunit ribosomal RNA", at positions 354 to 796 of the family's 1533-position model. The record is from RNAcentral.